This 253-nucleotide ribosomal RNA is filed under the name uncultured bacterium. RNAcentral's name for it is "partial 16S ribosomal RNA". It matches the Rfam family "Bacterial small subunit ribosomal RNA", at positions 524 to 776 of the family's 1533-position model. The record is from RNAcentral.
UACGGAGGGUGCAAGCGUUAUCCGGAUUCACUGGGCUUAAAGGGUGCGUAGGUGGUCAGUUAAGUCAGUGGUGAAAUCUCCGGGCUCAACCCGGAAACUGCCAUUGAUACUAUCUGUCUUGAAUAUCGUGGAGGUAAGCGGAAUAUGUCAUGUAGCGGUGAAAUGCUUAGAUAUGACAUAGAACACCAAUUGCGAAGGCAGCUUACUACCCGAAUAUUGACACUGAGGCACGAAAGCGUGGGGAUCAAACAGG